CAAAAAUUCUGGAACUCUCUCCUCCCUUCUCUCUUGUUCUCUCUUUCUUUCUAGAGUUCUCUCACUCUCUCUCUCGGCUCUCCCUUUUCUCCCCAUGAAACAAACCACCAUCAUCACCAAAAAUUUUGGCUUGUUGAACACCAAAACCACCAUUAUCUGCAUGUCUUCACCACCAUAAACCCAGUUUUGAGUUUUGUUUCAUUGAGAACAAAUCCUAACCUCGAGUUCGAAGAACAAGGUUUGGGCCGAGACUUCUAGGCGUGAUUCAGACAAUUUUCAGUCAUCUUUUGGAUUCAAAAAAGUUUCCGGCGAACCCGUGACCUUCCAGACCAUUUUCCGGCCAAACCAAGGCGAUUUAACAUCAAGAAAGUUUGCCCAGAAAUUCCAGCAAGUUACCAGUUUUCCCGCGGACAGCCAUAUUUCAGGCCAUUUUCCGGCCACCGUCUACCAUCAUUUGGGCUUCAAUUGGAGAUGAUAGUGCGUGACGUCUUGAUUUUGGGUGCUAGGGCGCGGUAGUGCGGGCUCCAGGGCGAUUGUGCAGGUAUUAUUAGAUACGAGAAGCUUUGGGGUAGAAGAUAGAGUUAUGAGAGCUUGGAGUGUUAGGUUACCCCUAUACUUUUCCUUAAAUAUAUGUGAUUAUUGUUAUUUUCAGUUCAGUAUUUCAGUUCGUAUUUCCUAGCAUCCCCCUACAGUCUACCGUCGCACGUCGAUCCUAGAUGUAUGUCGAGAUCGGGGCAUGAUAGCUAGGUUUGAAAUUGAGAAAUUUGAUGGAACGAGCAACUUUGCUAUGUGGCAGUGUGAGGUUCGAGAUGUCCUGAUACAAUAAGGUUUGGUUGUUGUGUUAUGAGACAUGCCGUUUUCGAUGGAAAAAGAAGAAUGGGAAAGAUUGAAUGCUCAUGCAUGUUCUACAAUUCGGCUAUGCUUGGGAAAGCAACAGAAGUAUGGUGUGAUGAACAUAACUUCUGCGAAGGAAUUGUGGGAUGCAUUAAAGACAAGAUAUAUGAAGAAGAGUGCAGAGAAUCGACUGCAUCUUAAGAGCAAAUUGUACAGGUUCCAGUACAAACAGGGCAUGAAGAUGAUUGGCCAUCUAGAAGAGUUUAACAAGCUUCUAGCUGAACUGGCAAAUCUUGAAGUGUAACAACUCAUCCUGAAUAACUUUACGGAUUUUAGAACGAAAUGGUAUUUUGAUCAUUUCAUUGGGAUGGGCUAGAUA
Malus domestica (apple) is the source of this 1213-nucleotide long non-coding RNA. RefSeq lists it as uncharacterized. Lineage: Eukaryota; Viridiplantae; Streptophyta; Magnoliopsida; Rosales; Rosaceae. The record is from RefSeq and is a predicted model, not a curated record.